RNA transcript from Balaenoptera musculus (blue whale), 5896 nucleotides. It is a transcript of the gene named collagen type XIII alpha 1 chain, with no coding region annotated. The record is from RefSeq and is a predicted model, not a curated record. The transcript has 39 exons. NCBI's taxonomy places the organism in Eukaryota, Metazoa, Chordata, Mammalia, Artiodactyla, Balaenopteridae.
GCACGGCUUGCUCAUCCGAUCCGUGCAGCCGCAGCUAGUGUGUCAAGUUACAGAGGCGCCGGAAUCGGCCCCAGCGCUCCUCGGCAGCGGCCACGACCCACCUCUGCCCGUGGGGCCCUCCACGUGCACCCCUUCGCCCCGGGACUGAAACUGGCUCGCCCGGGAGACGGGAGACACCAAGAAGGACGGACGGCGCAGAACCAACUCCAGGACUCUGCAGAUACUUGAAGGGAAAGACGGGGCGGAAAGGAGAGCCGGCCAGAUUCCCCUAACUUUCCUGGACUUGGAACGUUCUUCGAAGUAACUUUUUUUUUCUCACCUGGGUGUACCCCAAUUACUGCUGGUUGUGUUUUUCGGCUUUCCCCCUCCAGCUGCUAUUUUUUCCAUCCUCUUUGCCGGGAGCCAAGGAUAGGGACAUUUUCCAGCGACACAAGCCCUUUCCCCCUGUCCCGCAGCUUGGAUCGCGCCUUUGGACAGCGGCUCUCGCCUUUAUUUAUUCUAUUUAUUUAUUUAUUGGUUCUCAAUACGCGAGGGGAUGGUAGCAGAGCGCUCCCGCAAAGCGACAGCCGCCGGUGCCCGCGGCCCUGGGGAGCUGGACGCGCCCGGGACGGUGGCGCUGGCGGUGGCGCCGGCGGAGCGCUGCGCGCGGCUGCCGAGCCCGGGGUCGUGCGGGCUACUGGCGCUGGCCUUCUGCUCGCUGGCGCUCAGCCUGCUCGCCCACUUUCGGACAGCCGAGCUGCAGGCCCGGGUGCAGCGCCUGGAAGCAGACCGUGGGGAGCAGCAAAUGGAGCCGGCUAUUUUGGGACGAGUCAACCAACUGCUGGAUGAGAAAUGGAAGCUCCACUCACGGAGGCGCCGGGAGACCCCGAAGACGUCUCCAGGGUGUCACUGCCCGCCAGGACCUCCUGGUCCUGCUGGAAGACCCGGCCUUCCGGGGGACAAAGGUGCCAUUGGGAUGCCUGGACGUGUGGGAGGAAAGGGCCAACCAGGCGAGAAGGGCGCCCCAGGAGAUGCCGGGAUGUCCAUCAUCGGUCCCCGCGGCCCCCCUGGUCAGCCGGGCACUCGAGGUUUUCCUGGAUUUCCGGGUCCCAUUGGGCUUGACGGCAAACCGGGCCGCCCCGGACCAAAAGGGGAGAUGGGACCUCCAGGACAAAAAGGAGAAAAGGGUCAGUGUGGAGAGUACCCACACCGGCUGCUGCCUCUCCUCAAUUCAGUGCGGCUGGCUCCACCCCCAGUCAUUAAAAGGCGGACCUUCCAGGGUGAACAGGGCCAGACUGGCAUCCAAGGGCCACCAGGCCCUCCUGGACCGAGUGGACCUCUGGGGCACCCAGGACUGCCAGGGCCCAUGGGGCCACCCGGCUUACCUGGGCCUCCUGGACCAAAGGGAGACCCGGGGAUCCAGGGCUACCACGGCCGGAAGGGAGAACGGGGCAUGCCAGGGAUGCCGGGCAAACACGGAGCAAAGGGGGCUCCUGGAAUCGCUGUGGCCGGGAUGAAGGGUGAGCCUGGGAUCCCAGGAGCCAAGGGUGAGAAGGGGGCUUCGGGCCCCCCUGGGCUGCUCGGCCUCCUAGGGCAGAAGGGAGAAAAAGGUGAUGCCGGCAACUCCAUUGGAGGGGGCAGAGGGGAGCCUGGGCCCCCAGGGCUCCCUGGGCUCCCAGGGCCAAAGGGGGAAGCUGGAGCUGAUGGCCAGGCGGGCACCCCAGGACGGAAAGGAGACAAGGGGGAGCCUGGAGCAGCUGGAGAGCAGGGACCUGCUGGCCCCAAGGGCUCCAAGGGCGAACCCGGGAAAGGAGAGAUGGUGGACUACAACGGAAACAUCAACGAGGCUCUCCAGGAGAUCCGGACCCUGGCCUUGAUGGGGCCCCCUGGUCUUCCUGGGCAGAUUGGCCCACCCGGAGCUCCAGGGAUCCCAGGCCAGAAGGGGGAGAUUGGACUGCCCGGCCCUCCCGGACAUGAUGGGGAAAAGGGACCUCGAGGCAAACCAGGAGAUGUGGGCCCUCCUGGUCCCCAAGGCCCCCCAGGAAAGGCUGGGCCUGCAGGACUGAAGGGAGAAGACGGCCUUCCGGGGAACCCAGGAGAGAAGGGGGAGAAAGGGGAGAUGGGGCAGCCAGGCCCACCGGGUCUAGACGGCCCAACCGGGGAGAAAGGAGAACCAGGUGACCAAGGGAGAGCUGGAGUGACCGGAUUGCCUGGCCCAAUCGGGCUCCCAGGAUUCACGGGAGAGAAAGGAGAACCCGGGGAGAAGGGUGACCCAGGAGUGGAGGUUCCUGGGCCACCAGGGCCAGAGGGGCCUCCCGGACCUCCGGGGCUCCAAGGCGUUCCUGGACCAAAGGGGGAAGCAGGACUAGAUGGAGGAAAAGGAGAAAAGGGCAUCCAGGGAGAAAAAGGAGACCGAGGUCCUCUGGGAUUACCCGGAGCUUCAGGUUUGGACGGCAGGCCUGGGCCACCGGGUACUCCAGGACCAAUUGGAGUUCCAGGCCCAGCGGGACCAAAGGGAGAGAGGGGCAGCAAAGGCGACCCUGGGAUGACAGGACCAACGGGAGCAGCUGGGCUUCCUGGUUUACACGGACCACCCGGGGACAAAGGAAACCGGGGACACCGAGGUUUUAAAGGAGAGAAAGGGGAGCCGGGGUUACCAGGGCUGGACGGACUGGAUGCCCCGUGCCCACUGGUAUGGCAUCACCCUCCCUUGCCUGCAUGGCCAGUGUGGGCUUCCCCACGUGUGCGGUUUGUGCCUGUGUGCCUCUCCCGCUGCCCGGCACACUCCCGCUUGUCACUCUUCACUCUGUAGACACCAAGGGUCACCCUGCCUUAGCUGGUCCUCAGGGGGCUCCCGCCACGUUCCCCUCUUGCAUGCAGAGUCUGCCGGGAUGCUUUCUUGGCUUCCUCCUGCAGCUGCUUCAAAAGCCCAUCACCUUAAUGUGAGCGGCCCUCCCCACCCGAUGCCAACCUUAGCUGCAUCAGACCCUCCUUUCAGAACUGCUUCUAGACAAACCUGCCACCAGAAAGAAAGGCAGGGAAGUGGAAUAUCAGGACAAGUUAUUAGGAUUGUGACUUCUCUUCCUUCACACACUGCAGUUAGUUGGAAAAGCGUUGGCAAAACAUUUCAGUGAGAUGCCUGAGUUGGCCCCAUGUCCCUCUCCACUCCAGCAUCGCACGAUUUAGCAGAGGAAAGAUGGGCACCUUAUAAACACGGGGCAGAAUGAGGAGUUCUAGAACCAAAGUAGAGGAGGGGGUACCCUGACUGUUCUUCCAGCAUAGAUCUGGGUUCACUGCCCCGGUGACACCCCCAGAACCAGGAGAUGGUCCAAAAUUAGGAUUCUAGAUCCUGUAGGGUUCAUCCUUUUUGCUUAAAUCCCAGAAGACACUACAAGACCCUCCCUUAGUUUCCCUUUUUUUUUCAUCUUUAGGUGGUUCACAACCGAAAGGUCUGGAAGAACCUGGAAAGGUUGAGGAAGGGAAGGGAGAGGCAGGGAGGGAGGGGAGACAUUUAGGACCCACUCCCAAGCAUGUCCCACCUAAGUGGUGGCAGUUCUGGUGCCGCUGGGCCCACUCCCUCUCCAAGCAGGGACACCCGAGGCUCCUACAGCAAUCCUUUCAACAUACUGCAGGGGAAGCAGAAGAUGGCACUUCACUCCAAGGCAACUGGCUCGAAAACUUCCUGCUCUCCUAAAUUUCUGGAGGAGGUUUGGAGCUCAUGGAUCUAGUUUCGUACCAGUAAUUGUCAGAUGAGCAUUCCCAGCCUCACAUCCCCACCCCAGGGUCACACAGGAAUGAUCUUUGAAAAGAAGAGAAAAAGCUAUUUUAAAAAAAGAUGCUGUGUGACCCUGACAGGUGACCACAGAGCCCCUUGAAGGGACUUUUUAGGACCACACAGGCAACACAAAGGACGGCAGAGUAAGCAGCGUCGCAAACUUCCCAUUCCCGCCGCACUCCCCACCUUCCCACGCCCCCGCCCCGCUCCCCACCUUCCCCACCCCCACCCCGAACCCCCAGCAUGCAGCGCGCACCGCACGGGCGCCUUUCUCAGCCGUGGGAUCUCCCGCGCCCUCCGCAGCACCUCCGUUAACCAGCAGCCAGGCGUCCGCUCUGCCGUGACCCUUCCCACGAUCUGAACACUUGAGUUCUGCCGGCUGCAGCCCUGGCCUCCCUGCUUCUCACCCACACACCGUCACUCCCCUCUGCCUGCCCAGCCCUCCUCUGUCCCCCCUGCCACCACCCACGUGCCAAUGGGAAUGCCCCUGUGGUCCACGGAGGCUCCUCUCCCUUCCAGAGACCGUGUGAAGUGUCGCAUUGUGGCGGGCUGGGGAAAGGGACAGAGGGCUUCAUGGAACCCUGGGAUGCACCACCUCGCCCUGCAGACCCUCCCCAACCCAAAAGGGACAAUGAAAGUUAUCUUGAUUUGACCUUUAAUGCAAACUGGCAUUUUCUCCAGUAACAUUUGUGUGUUACUUUCGCUGUGGAAGUGUACAUGCCUUGCCUUUCUUGUUUCUCAUUGUUGCUGUUCGCCGUCUCCUGCGCUGUGUUACUGUGGACGUGGGGCGGGGCAGGGGGGCUGUUGAUCAGGAAUUUUAGUACAAGGUAACUAGACUUCUGCGGCCCCCGUGCAGGGCCGGCUGUCUGCUGGAUGCCAGGUGAGUGGCUUCGGCACCUGUCAUGGGUGGAUGAGUAGGCCCAGGGCACAGGGUGCUCCCGUUCCGGCUUCGCGGGGGCUGACCACUUGCUGCGGUCCCCUGAAACCCCGUGUGCAUCUCUUUCUCUGCCCUGGAGCCUGGAGUUCUAGAAUCUGGGCUGCAAUUCUAACAGACCCAGACUGAGAACCAGAUCUUUGCCCUGGUUCAACCUCACCCCCUCGACCUGCCUCUCAGUGGUUUCUAGGUUCCCGCAGGGAGUGCCAGAGCAGCCAGGAUAGCAGGGCCCAGGAGACUCGGGACGUCCUGAGGCUGCAGGAGCUCCGCAGGUGCACCGGCAAAGGGGACAAGCGGCACCCGGUGGAUUCCCAUUCCACCACUGCCUCUUCCCCCCAAGUCCCCAGCAAUGGCUGUGCCAGGAGCCCUGCCUCCUUGCUGAAGGCACCUCAGGCCCACGUUGCAAUGCCUGUGAAAUCACCCCUCCUCCUCCUUACUGAUCACCAGAUGGGAAUUGCCUAGAUGUCCUCCCCCAGCUGCUAAGGAAGAGAGAAAAAAUCAGAGAAUGGGAGAAGUGGGGGGCGGUCGUUUCAUAGAGCUGCACCUUCCCCAGGUUUUAUGGAGGAGGAAACUGAGGCCCCCAAGCGCUGAGUGACGCCCACGGGCACCCCGCACUCAGUACAGCCCGAGGGGAGACCAGCAGGCCUCUGGUCUGUCCUCUCCACAGCAUUCAGGUCACCUCUGCUUGCUGAGCCCACAGGCUAGGACAGCCCGUCUUGGCCGUGCACUGUAAUUACAUGUGAGUUUGGCCAGUGGGCAGAUGGGUGGGCUUGCUUCCUGCCUCCUUUCGGCUCGGCCCUGGCGUAGAGAAAAGAAACAGACUAUAUCAGGGGGGCCGCACCCUGGUCAGCUGCCGCAAUGUUUGUGGCCCUUGUUCCCCCUGUCCUGCUGCUUGGUGGGCCAUCCCGCAGAGUCUGAGCCGUCUGCCUUCCUUCCUCACUGCAGGGUGAAGACGGCUUGCCAGUCCAGGGCUGCUGGAAUAAGUGAUGCCUCUAACCUGGGAUUGGCCUGUGUGUGUGUUUGUAAAUAGAAUAUUUAUUUUUAUACAGUUUUCACUUUUUGAAAAUGCCCGAAGUAUGAUGCAUCUUACAGAUUAUUAAAAAAAAGGAAAGCCUGCAUAUUUUGUACAGAAAAUACCAACCUCUUCCCUUUUGUUUACAAGAUGUUUUGUAUACGUCUAAGACUCUAAUACACUUUUCGUUAGUGAG